Molecule: unclassified non-coding RNA, 251 nt
Filed under: Glomus sp.
Lineage: Eukaryota; Fungi; Glomeromycota; Glomeromycetes; Glomerales; Glomeraceae
Description: partial contains 5.8S ribosomal RNA and internal transcribed spacer 2
Rfam family: 5.8S ribosomal RNA (bases 1-65)
Source: RNAcentral
GUGAAUCAUCAAAUAUUUGAACGCAAAUUGCACUCUCCUCGGAGAGUAUGCGUGUUUGAGGGUCAGCCUAUAAAAAAUCGAAAUCGUUGCUGCUUCGCGUUGACGUUCGACGGAAAUUGGGAAAUCUUAAAUCACUUUGGUUUUAAGCGACUUAAAAUUUUCUUUUUGGUUCCAUGAACGUUUCUAAGAUCUAUUUCUUUACAAGUUUAAGGUAUUGAUUUUUACUAGUCGUGACCAUCAUAUCGGAUAGG